GACGAACGCUGGCGGCGUGCUUAACACAUGCAAGUCGAACGGAAAGGCCCUUCUUUUGUGGGGUGCUCGAGUGGCGAACGGGUGAGUAACACGUGAGUAACCUUCCCUUGACUUUGGGAUAACUUCAGGAAACUGGGGCUAAUACCGGAUAGGAGCUCCUGCUGCAUGGUGGGGGUUGGAAAGUUUCGGCGGUUGGGGAUGGACUCGCGGCUUAUCAGCUUGUUGGUGGGGUAGUGGCUUACCAAGGCUUUGACGGGUAGCCGGCCUGAGAGGGUGACCGGCCACAUUGGGACUGAGAUACGGCCCAGACUCCUACGGGAGGCAGCAGUGGGGAAUAUUGCACAAUGGGCGGAAGCCUGAUGCAGCAACGCCGCGUGCGGGAUGACGGCCUUCGGGUUGUAAACCGCUUUCGCCUGUGACGAAGCGUGAGUGACGGUAAUGGGUAAAGAAGCACCGGCUAACUACGUG
RNAcentral lists this ribosomal RNA (468 nucleotides) under uncultured bacterium. RNAcentral describes it as "partial 16S ribosomal RNA". It matches the Rfam family "Bacterial small subunit ribosomal RNA", at positions 28 to 507 of the family's 1533-position model. The record is from RNAcentral.